This 497-nucleotide ribosomal RNA is filed under the name Vibrio cholerae. RNAcentral describes it as "partial 23S ribosomal RNA". It matches the Rfam family "Bacterial large subunit ribosomal RNA", at positions 123 to 675 of the family's 2925-position model. The record is from RNAcentral. Lineage: Bacteria; Pseudomonadati; Pseudomonadota; Gammaproteobacteria; Vibrionales; Vibrionaceae.
GAAACCCAACUGCAUAAGCAGUUACUGUUAACUGAAUACAUAGGUUAACAGAGCAAACCGGGGGAACUGAAACAUCUAAGUACCCCGAGGAGAAGAAAUCAACCGAGAUUCCGGUAGUAGCGGCGAGCGAACCUGGAUUAGCCCUUAAGCACUCGGUGAAGUAGGUGAACAAGCUGGAAAGCUUGGCGAUACAGGGUGAUAGCCCCGUAACCGACGCUUCAUCGAGCGUGAAAUCGAGUAGGGCGGGACACGUGAUAUCCUGUCUGAAUAUGGGGGGACCAUCCUCCAAGGCUAAAUACUCCUGACUGACCGAUAGUGAACCAGUACCGUGAGGGAAAGGCGAAAAGAACCCCUGUGAGGGGAGUGAAAUAGAACCUGAAACCGUGUACGUACAAGCAGUAGGAGCACCUUCGUGGUGUGACUGCGUACCUUUUGUAUAAUGGGUCAGCGACUUAUAUUCAGUGGCAAGGUUAACCGUAUAGGGGAGCCGUAGCGAA